This 11108-nucleotide unclassified non-coding RNA is filed under the name Patiria miniata (bat star). RNAcentral describes it as "mucin-5AC-like, transcript variant X4". The record is from RNAcentral. Lineage: Eukaryota; Metazoa; Echinodermata; Asteroidea; Valvatida; Asterinidae.
UUGCGAAAUACAUUAAAUAUUCCCGCCCAGUGUCUUGUAUUGUCAAAUUUAGAACAUAUCCACAACGUCACCACCAUUAUUAGGGAAACGAAUAUACUCGGUAAACAAGUGAAUAAACUUCUUUAAAAUCCACUGGGAAAAAAUAAGUGGUCUCGGGCAACACCGUUUUCAUUUUGUGUGUGCAUGUGUCACGCGUGCGCAUUUUGUGUCGCACGCAUGCACUGUAUACUUGUACGAUCGAGUAUCACGUCACAAACUUUCAUGCCAGAUAGCAGUGGAGUCGGAUUUACAUCGUGCUCUCAAAACCGCCCCAAAAUGGCAGCAUUUACUCGGAAUUUACCCGGUGUAACCGCUACUUUCAAGCUCCUUAGACAAGUAUUGUAUCUUCUCUUGCUUCUCCAAAUGAUGAACUUUUCAAAUGUGGUUGGACAAUCAACGUCUGCAGCAACCUCUGGUAUGACUACAGUAGUACCAGCAACAGGGUUCGUUCCAAGUGAAAUACCGUUAAUAGCAUUGGAUACUGCUCAAGCCACGACAAACAGUGAUGGGACAACCUAUGUAGAACCCACAAAUGAAGUUGUGGCAGGCGACACAGGCGACACAGUGGCAGUUGACACAACAGCACAACAGGCUACAGAGCCAUUUGGCACUGCAAAAUCUACCUUAAUAGUAACAACUGUGACACAAAUCGUCACCUCAACUGACAUCAGACAGGAGACCACAGGUAGUUCAGAGGAAUCACCUGCCGCUCAAACAACACAACAGCCAAUGCAAAGUACAGCAGCAGUCACUGCAGCAGGAACACCAUCACCCAUGACCCACACUGCAGUAGCUCCUGCGAGUACUGCUGUAAUGGAAGUGGCUGCGACUACAACUCAAAAACCUACAGCAGAAACAACAAUGGUACCUGAAGCAGUUGCAACUCUGACACCUGAAGCAGCAACUCCAGCACCUGAAUCAGAUACAACUCAAGCACCAGCAACAGCAGCAACUCAAGCACCAGCAACAGCAACAACACACGUACCAGGAACAGCAACAACUGCACCUGCAGCUGAUACAACUCAAGUACCAGCUACAACAGCAACUCAAGCAGCAGCAGCAGCAACUCAAGCACCAGCAACAGCAACAACUCCAGCACCUGCAGCUGAUACAACUCAAGUACCAGCUACAACAGCAACUCAAGCACCAGCCACAGCCACAGCCACAAGCCCAGCAACAACAACAGCAACAACUCAAGCACCAGCAACAGCAACAGCUCAAGCACCAGCAACAGCAACAACACACGUACCAGGAACAGCAACAACUGCACCUGCAGCUGAUACAACUCAAGUACCAGCUACAACAGCAACUCAAGCAGCAGCAGCAACUCAAGCAACAGCAACAACUCAAGCAACAUCAACAACUCCAGCACCUGCAGCUGAUACAACUCAAGUACCAGCUACAACAGCAACUCAAGCACAAGCAACAGCCACAGCCACAACCCCAGCAACAACAGCAGCAACAACUCAAGCACCAGCAACAGCAACAGCAACAACUGAAGCACCUGCAGCUGAUACAACUGAAGUACCAGCUGCAACAGCAACUCAAGCACCAGCAACAGCAACAACCCCAGCAACAGCAACAACUCAAGCAACUGCAGCAGUUACUACUCAAGCACCAGCAACAGCAACCACUCAAGCACCAGUAACAGCAACAACUCAAGCACCUGCAGCAGCAACCACUCAAGCACCAGUAACAGCAACAACUCAAGCACCUGCAGCAGCAACAACUCAAGCACCAGCAACAGCAACAACUCAAGCACCUGCAGCUGAUACAACUGAAGUACCAGCUACAACAGCAACUCAAGCACCAGCAACAGCCACAACCCCAGCAACAGCAACAACUCAAGCACCUGCAGCAGUUACAACUCAGGCAACAGCAACAGCAACAACUCAAGCUGCAAUUACAACUCCAGCACCUGCAGUAGUUACAACUGAAGCUCCUGCAGCGGUAACAACUCAAGCACUUGCGACCGAAACAUCCAUCAUCGGAAGUACUGUGGCAGAUACUGUCCUAGGACCUGAUUCAGAAGCUCGACAGAGUACACCAUUGCCAGUCACAUCUGCAACAGGUGCUUUUACAGUAGUUACCCAAGAUCUACCUGUUACAACUCAAGAGCCUGCAACAGGAACAGUUGUUUCAGCAGAAACUGUAACAACUCGAGCACCUGACUCAGCUAAAACUCAAGCUACAACUCAAGCACCUGCAGCCAUAACAACUCUAGCACCUGAUGCUGUUACAACUCAGGCAACAGCAAUAGCAACAACUCAAGCACCAGCAACAACUCAAGCACCAGCAACAGCAACAACUCAAGCACCAGCAACAGCAUCAACUCAAGCACCUGCAGCUGAUACAACUGAAGUACCAGCUACAACAGCAACUCAAGCACCAGCAACAGCCACAACCCCAGCAACAGCAACAACUCAAGCACCUGCAGCAGUUACUACUCAAGCACCAGCAACAGCAACCACUCAAGCACCAGUAACAGCAACAACUCAAGCACCUGCAGCAGCAACAACUCAAGCACCAGCAACAGCAACAACUCAAGCACCAGCAACAGCAACAACUCAAGCACCAGCAACAGCAACAACUCAAGCACCUGCAGCUGAUACAACUGAAGUACCAGCUACAACAGCAACUCAAGCACCAGCAACAGCAACAACCCCAGCAACAGCAACAACUCAAGCACCUGCAGCAGUUACUACUCAAGCACCAGCAACAGAAACCACUCAAGCACCAGUAACAGCAACAACUCAAGCACCUGCUGCAGCAAUAACUCAAGCACCAGCAACAGCAACGACUCAAGCACCUGCAGCUGAUACAACUGAAGUACCAGCUACAACAGCAACUCAAGCACCAGCAACAGCCACAACCCCAGCAACAGCAACAACUCAAGCACCUGCAGCAGUUACUACUCAAGCACCAGCAACAGCAACCACUCAAGCACCAGUAACAGCAAUAACUCAAGCACCUGCAGUAGCAACAACUCAAACACCUGCGGCAGCAACAAGUCGAACACCUGAAGCAGUUACAACUCCAGCACUUGCAGCAGCAACAACUCAAGCACCUGCAAUAGCAUCAACUCAAGCACCUGAAGCAGCAUCAACUCAAGCACCUGAAGCAGUUACAACUCCAGCACUUGCAACAACUACUCAAGCACCUGCAGCAGUUACAACCGAAAAACCAACCUUGAAGCCAUCAAAACCUGAGUUUAAGCCAUUGUCAUCAUUAACUGAGAAGGAGAAAAGUGAAGCAGUUACUCUGGAGUUAAAUAAGGAUAUUACGAGAGAGUAUUGGAUGUCCUAUUUGGAUGUCAAAUUCCGCCAGCUCCUUGCUCAAAUGCUCAAUACUAGUAACAGACGUCGGAGGCGUCAGAGUGACGGAGGGACCUCGGCAAUCAAGCCAGAAGACAUCAUCUACAUCAGCCCUUCCCCGAUCCUCAAGGAUGGGGUGCUCCAUGUCUCGUUCUUUGUGAGAAGCAGGGAGGGAGGCUCCGGAGAAAGUGUAUUGAGUAGUGAGAAGGUGUUGGCAAAAUUAAAUGAGGAGGACAACGUCGAUAAGAUGAAGACAUUGUUGGGCGUUGAUGAUUUUAAGCCCUAUGCGGGUAUUUCCCAAGUUCUCCUGGAAUCAGACAAGCAAACCGGUCUUAACAUCCUCGGCAGUCGGGCUCUCUUCAUCGUGCUGAUCGUCCUGGGCUGCAUCAGCUUGGUCAUCAUCAUCGCGGGCUUCCUUUACCUCGUCUGCGAUCGCAAACGCACCCGCAGCGGGGAGUACAUCACCAAUAACACCAACCCGGAUCUGGAGGUUGGAUUCGACAACCCUGCCAUGGUGAACGAGACCGACAAGGCGGCCUUGAACGGCAAUGGGGCUCACCUGCUCAGCUUUAAGCCAGACGCAGGAGACGGGGAUAUUGUGCCUUACGAUAGCUUCAGUCCGGAGGACUUUAUGAAUUGCGAGGUGGAGGACACGCAUCUUUAAGAUUGAACCCGUGGGGAAAGACAGUAGCAGGUUUGUCUAAACUGUACAGUCCACAUUGUAGAUAUUUCAUAUAUAAGUCUCUGUUCCUCAAGGCUUUGUGUUGUGCACUUGCACCGUCUGCUAAUUUGGCGUGGCAAAAAAUUUGCCAAAAGUUUUUCUCCUAGCCACUGACCACACUUUUUGCCUUGCUUCAAAAGUGUUGUCUCAAAAGUGUUGUCUCAAGGACAGUUUAAACAUACAGUACUGUCCCAAUAAUGGAUGUUUCUUUCAUAAACCUUUGUCAGAAUCAAGGAACUGUAAGGUGGCAGGCUUGAUCUGCACUUGUUUGUUGUUUUAUUGUUGUUACAGCGACUUUUUAGUACUAUAAUUCAAAAUCCCAAUUGAAGUGGGCUUAAUUGAAGGUUUAUAGCAGGGUCAAAUACUGGCCGAUGGGCCGAGGGCUUCUUGCACAAGUACCCCCUCAAUGGUUACAAAGGUAGAGUUGGGGGAGACCACUGGGAGAGACAUUUGAACGCAUUGCCGACAGGGCCUGACAUUCAUGCAAAGACGCUAUGGCUUUGUGUACUUCAGAAUAGAUUUAGUCAUGUGUACUUCUAGUGGUGUGUAUGCAUUUAUGGGUUGUACAGGAAACCCUAUUGUAAAAUACGGGUACCCAGGUAUGCGUAAAAGAAACUCAACCCCAAAUUUCAAAUCCCGGAAGUUGUCUGAAGGUUUUUUUUUAGCUGAACAGUGUAAACUGCAAUUUUUGCGAGCAUUAUCUGUCCCGCUUUAAAACGUGAAAUCUGUUUUGGUCUACGAUGUACAAUGUAGCCCUACGUUUUCUUCUUUGAAAAUUUUCUACAGAUGUCAUUCAAAAGCUUUCUUUUCAUUGUAAGAGAAGUUGCUAAGUAAUUCGUAAAGAUGGUUAUGAGUACCUGAUCCGGUAAUCUGGAACUGGUUCCUGACAUCAGUGGUCGGAUACCCGGGUUCCCGGUUCCGAUGCACACCCUAGGCAUUCAGUUCUUGCAAGAACUCACAAAGCACAAACCACAGUGCACGCAUGAUUCCUGGAUUCCGUAGGAAUAACUAAAAGUGUCUUGUUUGUAUCAGUGGACUAAGAAGAGUUGUGAUGCCUGCCAAAUUUUAUUUAACUUUACUCCUUAGAAAGUUAGGCGAAACAACCAAGCUGAAAGCCAUUCUUUGAAAGUUUGCAUUUUUAGAUCUAUACUUUUGUGGCUUGUUGAUUGUCACAUGUCCUUAAACACACUGUCAUGUUCUCCGAAAAAAUUACAAAGAAAUUGUCAUGUUGAAUAGUUGAAACUUCAAUUUGUCUUGAUUAUAAACUAGGAAAUCCAGCACUUCAAGAAGACAGAAAUGUAAUUUUGUGCUAUUGUUUGAAUGUUUUGUUAGUGUUUUGGAAAUCUUGCCAUUUCUUUUUACUGAAAGUUUGCUGUGUUUCAAAAGAAAUGUUGCAAUUUUUUGAAUUUGCAAUUAAUUAUGCAGUGUGUGCGUGUGUAUCGAUCAAGUUAAAGAGAGAUCAAGCAUUUUUUUCUGUAAGUAAUUAAGCUAAUCUUAACCAAAAAAAAGUCACUUGGUUGUCAUGUAUCAAGUAUAUUACUGUAGUGAAUGAGUACAAUAAUAUAUGUAUUUUGAUUUUUAAGUGUUCAGUACCAUGUUACAAAAUCUUAUGCACCAUUCCAAAGUUAAGAUGCACAAUAUGUUUUUUUAAUAUACGCAGUACUGUAAGAUUUCUGAGUUCAAUCACCAAAAAAAAAAGUUGUUAAAAACUCUGUAUUUAGUGGCUGCCUGUUUUACUAGAGCGUAGAGCCAAUAUUUUUUUCUGCAUGUAUUUCAUUGUGUUGGUUAUUCCUUUCCGAUAAUUCUAAGGAGUUUAAAAUCAAUAUUCCGUCCAUCUUCAUUGGCCAUAAAAAAAACUUGAAAAUUUUGUGAUUUAUAAAUUAAUCAAACAUGAAGCCAGGCAUGCAACUUUUCCUCGGAUCUGCUGAUUUCCUCGUUUUUUACUUCUCAUGAAUGCCAUUACAAAUUGAAAAACACUGUACAAGUCUUGUGUGGUUUGGAAUUUCCUCCGUUUCUUUUUCUUCUAAAUUUCCAGUUGCAUGCCUGUGUAGCUGGAACAUUCCGAAAAUCAUUGGUCAAAUUAGGUUUGUUUGAAAUAUAAACAUUAUAACUUUAUAUGACAGAAAGUUAUCUAGCCUUUGUUUAUCAUGUAGUCGUUUGCCUUUUUUUGCCAUUAUCUUUGUAAACAAGUUAUUCAAAAAGGACCAAGUACAGGGUCUCUUCUAUUGUAAUUUAUUGAUGAAUGUAUCAGAUAGUUUACAUUUUUUUUUAAAGGCAAUUUCUUAGUUUGGAGAAUUAUCCCCCUUUUAAAAAAAUUCUUAAGUAAACUUAACAAUUAUUGGUUUAUUGUAUCCUUGUCUUGCCAAGCCAUGCAGCUUGAAAUUGAUAUUUUCUUUUUUACGAUGACCUCAAACAUUCAAUUGCUGUCUCGCCAUUUGUCACUGUCGGAUUUGAUUCUAGACCAAAUAGUUGUUUUCAAAAGGAGAGGUGCUUUAACCUUCAUGUUGUAGUUCAAUUUUGAGAAAAGGAUUUUCAGGGGAAAAAAAUGUGAUCCCCUUGCCCCCAACUGAAGUUAAAUAGUUGUCGGUGUUGUGUUGCACUUGAUAUCAUCCAGCCCUGACUCAUCCUCGCCAGUUGUAAUCAGAGAAAGUCUUUCCACAGACGUCGCAAUAUAUUCUCGAAUGGCAUUUUAUCUUUCUGGGGAUAUAACUCUCAUUUAAAGCCUUUCUCCCUCAAGCUUUGCAAACUCUAUUUAAGUGCAGUCUUUCAUUGGAUCUAUUUUUGGUCCAGAUAAAAAGAACAUAUUUCAUAGUGACAACUGUCACGAUAGCAAAAAAUGAGCAGCCAACAAAAAUCGUUUAAUGGAGUCAGAUGAUAUCAGCGCAUGUCAAAGAAAACUUGUUGAGUGUUCAGUUUCAAAAGUAAUCACUUAAUGCACAGACGUAAUGUAACAUCUUUUAAUUGACUGUUAUCCAGACCUACGCGUACAGUAUAACUAUAACGUGGGGAAAAAUAUUUUUUUCAGCGAACUUAUUUUCCUGCCUCCAUGUUUAACCCUACUGAUAUACGGAAAUCUAAACAAUUUUGUCUCUCAAUUUUGUGUGUCUUUUUGUUAAUGAAGGGAUUACUGCUAACGUUAGUUACUUUGUUCUGUGAGUGUUUUAUUAAUGUUUCUACUUUAACUUUCCUAUAGUGCUUAAACGAGAACUUAAGUGCACAUAUGUUCAUGUCUAUGGCUAGAAAAUUGUAUGAUUUUUGAAAAAAGGGCCAAGAAAAAUGGCUGUUAAACAUUCAUAUGAAGAUACCUGUUAUUUACUUAUUCAUUUAUUUUUCGAUUUAUUUAUUUUUUACUCGAGUCAGGUUAUAAUUUCUUAUGUGAUCCACCAUUGAAUAUCACCUCAAGUUGACUGCAACAGCCCAAAAGGAAGACUAUCUGUAGGGCGUAAUGGACAUUCCAGGGUGCUUGUGUAAACCUUUCUCAAGGCAUAAAUUUCCCUGAUUUAAUGACCUGAGGUCAGUCAAAGGUCACUAUGCCAAUCCCAAACUUGGAAAUCUUAAGGUGUUUUUCUACUCCUCCAUGGUCUGUUUUUGGCAUAGUUUCCCAGGUCAAGGACUGAAGUCGAUGUUUUAUCUAAAUAUAUAUGACCUGAUGGAUCCUAGGCUACAUCUUCCCCGAAGUUGAAAUGGAAUAGUCCACCUUUUAUUGUCCUAUUGGGAUCAAGAAUUGGCCUUCCAUGAAUGAUUUUUAAGGGCAAAACCUUAGAAACAGUUUUAAAAAUGUUAUUAUAUGAAGUUUUUUUCAUAUUGACCAAGGAUAUUGACCAAGGAAAUUUGACCAAAAUGGGGUUUGCAGGUCAAAAAAUAUAGUUCAUUUCCCCAAAACUGAUCCCUUGUCUUUUCCCAUUGUGGUACAGUUGAUGAAAAAAGAUUCAAAGAAUAUUUAAAUUGUAAAUGUAUAAAUAAUGUAUGCUUUGUUUAGUAGUUUUUGGUUUACUUUUUAGUGAGUCUGUUUCCUUUUUGGCCUAUUAUGCAUUGUCUUAAUUAUUAUUCAUAAUCAAAAAGAGUGUAUUACAACUAUCACGACAUGGUCUUUUAGUUUUGUUUAUCAAAGUAAUUAAUUGGUUACAGUUACUUAUCUCAUACUCAGUUGCCAGAGAUUUUGUUUUCAACUAAAACUUCUCUCAAAUGACUGUCGGUUGUUCCAAGUUAAUUUGAACCAGUACUGUCUUUAUUCCAAAGAAGGUUUCGUUUAGAACAGUCUUGGUACCGGUAGCUCCAUUUUCAGGUGGAAAUAUGACCUGUAGAGCUUCAAACGAAAUGCCCACUUCACCUGAAAUUUACUCUGAGGGGAGACAGUUGGUCAGUGAGUGACUCAGUAAGUCAGUGACUCAGUCAGUGACGCGUAGUCUUUGACGCAGUCAGUGACUAGAGACUCGUCAGUCAAUGAGUCAGUCACUCAGUCAGUCACUCGUCAGUGACUCAGUCAGUCAGUGACUCAUCAGUGACUCCUCACUCAUAAAUCACUUGUCAGUUACUCAGUCAGUGACUCAGUCAGUGACUCAUCAGUGACUCCUCACUCAUCAAUCACUUGUCAGUUACUCAGUCAGUGACUCAGUCAGUGACUCAUCAGUGACUCCUCACUCAUCAAUCACUUGUCAGUUACUCAGUCAGUGACUCAGUCAGUGACUCAUCAGUGACUCCUCACUCAUAAAUCACUUGUCAGUUACUCAGUCAGUGACUCAGUCAGUGACUCAUCAGUGACUCCUCACUCAUAAAUCACUUGUCAGUUACUCAGUCAGUGACUCAUCAGUGACUCCUCACUCAUCAAUCACUUGUCAGUUACUCAGUCAGUGACUCAGUCAGUGACUCAUCAGUGACUCCUCACUCAUCAAUCACUUGUCAGUGACUCAGUCAGUGACUCAGUCAGUGACUCCUCACUCAUCAAUCACUUGUCAGUUACUCAGUCAGUGACUCAGUCAGUGACUCAUCAGUGACUCCUCACUCAUCAAUCACUUGUCAGUGACUCAGUCAGUGACUCAGUCAGUGACUCAGUCAGUGACUCCUCACUCAUCAAUCACUUGUCUGACUCAGUCAGUGACUCAGUCAGUCACUCGGUCAGUCACUCGGUCAGUCACUCGUCAGUGACUCCCCCAGUGACUCAGUGACUUAGUGACUCUGGGACUCAGUCAGUCAGAGGGCAAAGGCUAGCCCAUCAGGUCCAGCCAAAAAAAAAUAAAAAAUUAGUGCCAGCUUAAAUGUUGAAAGAAGACUGAAAAUUACAUUUUACUAAGUAACAGGUGUAGAUCUUCAUACUGGGACAGCAGGGCUGUGUACUCCCUGUGGGGAUGUAAGGAGCCAUGUCAAGACCAUGCUUUGAUGAUAGAGGUGGUGACCUUAAUGCUGAUUAUACACACCUAUAGGGGACUGGGUCAAAGGUCACAAACCCCUGGGCCAUAUAACCCAGCAGUGUUAUCCACUGUAUGGAUUCUGUAGUUAUCUCUGGAGAUCAUCUUUGGGGAAGUCUCAUUUUUCUGUCUUUGCCCGAGGGUCAGUUGCUUAUUAUUUUUGGAGAGAUCAAAUCAACUGCACCUGUUAGUUUGGGUAAAAGUUUAAUUUUUAUAAUUGGAUGUUUUGGGUGAUCGUGGUCUUGAAAUGGUAAAUUUAAGUGGAUUUUUGUGUGUGAUACUUGCCUUAAACCUGGAAGUAAAGAUCAUAGUUGAAAUGUAUAGAGAGACUACAGCAUGCAAAUGUCUGUGAACCAUUAUACAUACUGAAAAAUGUUUUGGAAAACUUGGAUUUUUGGGGGGAAAAUUUGCUUUGAGUUGGGGAGGAUUUAGUCAAUAUUACAUUGGUAUGUAAUUGUAUAUAAGUUUUUGUACAGGAUAGAAUUUCAUCUUUUCGGUGGCUUUCUUGUCUUUUAUUUUUUGGGGAAGGGGCGAUAUUUUUAAUUGUUUUAGGAAGGCCUCAUAGCAUAAAACUUAAAAAGGAAGUAGAUGCCAGAAUGUGCCAGAACGGAGGCUGAUUUUUGUCCCCCUGCAAUCUUGUAGUUUUAUUAAAGACAUAAUCCUGAAUUUUGUGUUUAAUGUUGACUCUUUUGUAGUUGCCAAAUUCUUGCUUGGACAAAAGUUAGUAAGAGUUGGCGGGAUGAAAUUCCCCAAGUUGGCCUUGUUUGGCGGAAAAAGUGAUUUCCGUCUACUGGAGUAAAAAAUCACCAGUUUUUUGAAAAUGGGGAUGAACAUGCAUAUAUUGUAUUUCUCUUUUUUUUUGCAUGAAAAAUCAGAAAAAUUUGAUAAUGCAAAAAUCAUUGGAAAUGCUAAAAACCAAUUGUUGACAUCUAUAAAAAGUGAAAAUCUAGUUAAAGUUUUCAGGCAAGCACAAUGUUUUAAAUGUAUUGUUGAUAAAGGUUUUUAUUUUAUUUAAAAUGUGUUCAGACUUUAAUUGCAUAGUAAGUUUCACCGCCGCAUGUGUUUUUGUUAAAUUGGCACACAUUGUGUUUAAAAAAAAUUGUUCUGCUUUGUAUUUUAUAUUGUCAGUUUUACGCUUUCUAAUUCUGUUAUGUAGAAAUUUCAGUGCAACACAAAGUUCAAGUUAAGUACAUGUACUACUUUUAGAACAAAAAUUGUGUAUUCAUUGAACUACUUUGUCAAAGUGUGGCUACCCAUAAACAUAAGUGAACAGAUAUUGGAUAACAUACAGCCUGUAGGUCAAAUAUACAAUUUAACUUUUAAGAAUGCCUGUACGUUGUUUAAUUGUGUUACGUUCUAAUCCCUUAAAUAGGAUCAAGACAAAGAAUGUUAACAAUAAAAGUUGUGAAAAUAAUUAAUGAGAAAAUGUGUUUGAGCCCCAGGCUUGCAUACAGCUUCUUGAAUUAAUAUGACUCCUUAAUCACAAAAAUAUAUAAAACAGUAUUAUAUUAAUAACAAAAAAAAAUCAGUUUAAUAAGGGAAUAGCUUAGAAGAUAUUGUUCUGCCACAAUUUCUCCUCUCUGUUUGGUAUGUGUUGCAACCGAUAUUAACACUUUCAGUGGUAAAAUA